This 253-nucleotide ribosomal RNA is filed under the name uncultured bacterium. RNAcentral's name for it is "partial 16S ribosomal RNA". It matches the Rfam family "Bacterial small subunit ribosomal RNA", at positions 524 to 776 of the family's 1533-position model. The record is from RNAcentral.
UACGGGGGGGGCAAGCGUUGUUCGGAAUUACUGGGCGUAAAGGGCUCGUAGGCGGCCAACUAAGUCGGCCGUGAAAUCCCUCGGCUUAACCGGGGAACUGCGUCCGAUACUGGAUGGCUUGAGUUUGGGAGAGGGAUGCGGAAUUCCAGGUGUAGCGGUGAAAUGCGUAGAUAUCUGGAGGAACACCGGUGGCGAAGGCGGCAUCCUGGACCAACACUGACGCUGAUGAGCGAAAGCCAGGGGAGCAAACGGG